RNAcentral lists this ribosomal RNA (420 nucleotides) under Fusobacteriota bacterium. RNAcentral's name for it is "Fusobacteria bacterium partial 16S ribosomal RNA". It matches the Rfam family "Bacterial small subunit ribosomal RNA", at positions 355 to 776 of the family's 1533-position model. The record is from RNAcentral. Lineage: Bacteria; Fusobacteriati; Fusobacteriota.
UGGGGGAUAUUGCACAAUGGGCGAAAGCCUGAUGCAGCGACGCCGCGUGGUGGAUGAAGGCCUUCGGGUUGUAAACUUCUUUUGCUCUUAACAAGGCAUGCCUUUGGUGUGUGUUGAGUGUAGGGGUUGAUUAGCGCCGGCUAACUACGUGCCAGCAGCCGCGGUAAUACGUAGGGCGCGAGCGUUGUCCGGAAUUAUUGGGCGUAAAGGGCUUGUAGGUGGCUGGUUGCGUCUGUCGUGAAAGCUCAUGGCUUAACUGUGGGUUUGCGGUGGGUACGGGCUGGCUUGAGUGCAGUAGGGGAGGCUGGAAUUCCUGGUGUAGCGGUGGAAUGCGCAGAUAUCAGGAGGAAUACCGGUGGCGAAGGCGGGUCUCUGGGCUGUUACUGACGCUGAGGAGCGAAAGCGUGGGGAGCGAACAGG